RNAcentral lists this ribosomal RNA (467 nucleotides) under uncultured bacterium. Its description in RNAcentral is "partial 16S ribosomal RNA". It matches the Rfam family "Bacterial small subunit ribosomal RNA", at positions 28 to 507 of the family's 1533-position model. The record is from RNAcentral.
GACGAACGCUGGCGGCGUGCUUAACACAUGCAAGUCGAACGGAAAGGCCUCUUUCGGGGGGUACUCGAGUGGCGAACGGGUGAGUAACACGUGAGUAACCUGCCCUUGACUUUGGGAUAACUUCAGGAAGCUGGGGCUAAUACCGGAUAGGAGCUCCUGCUGCAUGGUGGGGGUUGGAAAGUUUCGGCGGUUGGGGAUGGACUCGCGGCUUAUCAGCUUGUUGGUGGGGUAGUGGCUUACCAAGGCUUUGACGGGUAGCCGGCCUGAGAGGGUGACCGGCCACAUUGGGACUGAGAUACGGCCCAGACUCCUACGGGAGGCAGCAGUGGGGAAUAUUGCACAAUGGGUGGGAGCCUGAUGCAGCAACGCCGUGUGCGGGAUGACGGCCUUCGGGUUGUAAACCGCGUUCGCUCAUGACGAAGCUUUGUGUGACGGUAGUGGGUAAAGAAGCACCGGCUAACUACGUG